UUCUUGGGUUCUUUAGGCCCAACUAGAUUUUUUUACUCGAAAAAAGGAUCAUGGGCCUACCCAGUUUCUUUUCUAUAUGGUCCUAAUAAAACUAUUCGAACAUUGGGGGGGUGUUUCUUUAGGCCCAACUAGACUUUUUUACUCGAAAAAAGGAUUUUCAAGAUCUAAGAGAUUGAGACGAAAAAUGUUAGAUAGACGGGAUUAGAAAUUUCUUCAUAAGCACUUCGAAGGUAUGUGAAGGGGAUAUUUAAAUGAUUAAAUCCCUAUUCGCAAGGUGUCAUUUGAAAUCUCUCAUGUGCCUUUAUUAGGUUCAUGGAUAUGGAUAACCGUGAAGAUCCAUUUUUAACCUAAUCAGGCUGAUAUGGUAAUAGUACUCUCUGCCCUGAAAUCUCCUCGUUUACUCGUGUAACAUUUUAAUGUUAGAAUAUAAGUAUGAUUGUGAGUGCUGGAAACCGGCUAUAGUGUUUCAAUUGGUAUGGAAAGGUCUUGUUGUAGAGUUUAAAGUUGUCCUAAUCAAUUUGGGAUUGAAACUUUAAUAAAUCAUGAUACUUAACACUCAUAGUUGGAUUGGAAUUGUGUGUUUGUUUCCUAUGCUGAUUUUAAUAGGAAAAUCACAAUGAUUGUUUCAAUAUAAAAUAUUAGCCUCUACUCUCACAAAAAAUACGCUCAAUAUUAAACUAAGACCUAUUGUUAAUUUGAGUACUUUUGGUUUUGCAAGAAAGGAGAAGGUGUAUUGUUUAGAAGUUUGCUUUGGCUUCUUCUUCUACUGCUUCCAUGGAUUAGUUUGUUAUAGUGUUAAUUGAAUUGUGAUUUUAAUACUUAUAUAAAUUGUGGUUCAUGUGCUUAAUCUCUUAAUAUGUUUUUGAUAAGUUUAGUCUUACAUAUAGUAUCAGAGCUUAAGAUUUUUGUUCUUCAAUUCAAAUUGAAAGUAUUAAAUUGAAGCAGUAAUCGACGUGAUGGUUUAGCGGGGAAAUAGACUUUGGUUUUGCAAAAGAAAUUUUUAAAGUUUUAAAGAAAUAAUAGAGAGGAUGUCUUUAUGUAAAAGGUUAGGUAGUGUUGUUUUCAAAAUUAUUUGACCAUUGCAAUUUUGAAAAGGGGGAAAAUUGUGUUCUGUCUAAGCCUUCUUUCUGCAAAAGAUAAAAGGGUUGUUGAGGUUUGUGAAUAUAUGAACACAUACAUGCACUUGUGAAAUUUAUUUUGAUUUAUAUUAAAUUUAGAUUUUAAUUAAACUAAUUAUGAAAUUU
Molecule: long non-coding RNA, 1244 nt
Filed under: Malus domestica (apple)
Lineage: Eukaryota; Viridiplantae; Streptophyta; Magnoliopsida; Rosales; Rosaceae
Description: long non-coding RNA (MDOM_LNC016469)
Source: RNAcentral